CAAAAAGACCCUAUGAAGCUUUACUGUAGCUUGAUAUUGGCUCCGGGCUUUGUUUGCGCAGGAUAGGUGGGAGGCGUUGAAGAUUUUCUUGCGGGAAUUUCGGAGCCGUUGGUGAGAUACCACUCUAACAAUGCUAGGAUUCUAACCCUACACCGUUAUCCGGUUAGGGGACAGUUUCAGGUGGUCAGUUUGACUGGGGCGGUCGCCUCCCAAAAGGUAACGGAGGCGUGCAAAGGUUUCCUCAGGCUGGUCGGAAAUCAGUCGUAGAGUGUAAAGGCAUAAGGAAGCUUGAUUGUGAGACCUACAAGUCGAACAAAGACGAAAGUCGGCCUUAGUGAUCCGACGGUUCCGAGUGGAAGGGCCGUCGCUCAACGGAUAAAAGUUACUCUAGGGAUAACAGGCUGA
RNAcentral lists this ribosomal RNA (405 nucleotides) under uncultured Prochlorococcus sp. RNAcentral's name for it is "partial 23S ribosomal RNA". It matches the Rfam family "Bacterial large subunit ribosomal RNA", at positions 2081 to 2485 of the family's 2925-position model. Lineage: Bacteria; Bacillati; Cyanobacteriota; Cyanophyceae; Synechococcales; Prochlorococcaceae. The record is from RNAcentral.